Molecule: ribosomal RNA, 970 nt
Filed under: uncultured delta proteobacterium
Lineage: Bacteria; Deltaproteobacteria
Description: bacterial SSU rRNA
Rfam family: Bacterial small subunit ribosomal RNA
Source: RNAcentral
AGAGUUUGAUCCUGGCUCAGAACGAACGCUGGCGGCGUGCUUAACACAUGCAAGUCGAACGCGAAAGUUUUCUUCGGAAAGCGAGUAGAGUGGCGCACGGGUGAGUAACGCGUAAAUAAUCUACCCUGGUGUCUGGGAUAACCAGCCGAAAGGCUGACUAAUACCGGCUAUAUGAUUAUCUGUUGGGAUAAUCAGGAAAGGUGGCCUCUAUUUAUAAGCUAUCGCACUGGGAUGAGUUUGCGUACCAUUAGCUAGUUGGUGGGGUAAAGGCCCACCAAGGCGACGAUGGUUAGCGGGUCUGAGAGGAUGAUCCGUCACACUGGCACUGGAACACGGACCAGACUCCUACGGGAGGCAGCAGUGAGGAAUAUUGCGCAAUGGGGGAAACCCUGACGCAGCGACGCCGCGUGGAUGAUGAAGGCCUUCGGGUCGUAAAAUCCUGUCAGAUGGAAAGAAGUGUAUAUGUGUUAAUAGCGCAUAUAUUUGACGGUACCAUCAAAGGAAGCACCGGCUAACUCCGUGCCAGCAGCCGCGGUAAUACGGAGGGUGCAAGCGUUGUUCGGAAUUACUGGGCGUAAAGCGCGCGUAGGUGGUUUGUUAUGUCAGAUGUGAAAGUCCACGGCUCAACCGUGGAAGUGCAUUUGAAACUGGCAGACUUGAGUACUGGAGGGGGUAGUGGAAUUCCCGGUGUAGAGGUGAAAUUCGUAGAUAUCGGGAGGAAUACCGGUGGCGAAGGCGACUACCUGGCCAGAUACUGACACUGAGGUGCGAAAGCGUGGGGAGCAAACAGGAUUAGAUAUCCUGGUAGUCCACGCCGUAAACGAUGUCAACUAGGUGUUGGGAUGGUUAGUCGUCUCAUUGCCGCAGCUAACGCAUUAAGUUGACCGCCUGGGGAGUAUGGUCGCAAGGCUAAAACUCAAAGGAAUUGACGGGGGCUCACACAAGCGGUGGAGGAUGUGGUUUAAUUCGA